UACAGAGGGUGCAAGCGUUAAUCGGAGUUACUGGGCGUAAAGGGCGCGUAGGCGGCUUAUUAAGUGAGAUGUGAAAUCCCCGGGCUUAACCUGGGAACUGCAUCUUAUACUGGUGAGCUAGAGUACUGUAGAGGGUAGUGGAAUUUCCGGUGUAGCGGUGAAAUGCGUAGAGAUCGGAAGGAACACCAGUGGCGAAGGCGGCUACCUGGACAGAUACUGACGCUGAGGCGCGAAAGCGUGGGGAGCAAACAGG
RNAcentral lists this ribosomal RNA (253 nucleotides) under uncultured bacterium. Its description in RNAcentral is "partial 16S ribosomal RNA". It matches the Rfam family "Bacterial small subunit ribosomal RNA", at positions 524 to 776 of the family's 1533-position model. The record is from RNAcentral.